Sinocyclocheilus anshuiensis is the source of this 172-nucleotide long non-coding RNA. RefSeq lists it as uncharacterized. The transcript has 3 exons. The record is from RefSeq and is a predicted model, not a curated record. Lineage: Eukaryota; Metazoa; Chordata; Actinopteri; Cypriniformes; Cyprinidae.
CGUUCCCCACCCCGCCCAAUCGCCAGGACUGACACAGGCUGCCUAUCCCCCAGGUCAGCCUCCCUCGGUUGUUUUUCCUGGGCCAUCUCCACAAAUGAACACUGCACCGCAACCCAGACAGUUUGCUCCAGGGCCUCGUGCUUUACACCAACAGGUACUACCAAUUUUCAUA